Long non-coding RNA from Dalotia coriaria, 3034 nucleotides. RefSeq lists it as uncharacterized. The record is from RefSeq and is a predicted model, not a curated record. NCBI's taxonomy places the organism in Eukaryota, Metazoa, Arthropoda, Insecta, Coleoptera, Staphylinidae. The transcript has 2 exons.
GGUAGGAAAUCGACAUUAAAUCAGCGAUUAAAUUCUUCCAAUGGUGUUUGCUAAAUCACAAUCGACAUCGGCGGCCCAAAGGCAUCUUCAAUCAUUCUACAUUACCAGUUACUUUAGUAUCGUGGAGGUACUAAUCGUAAUUAAAAUGGUCAUUAUUGGAACCGAGGACUAUGGGGCCAUUUGUGUUAAUUCUAAUUCGAAGCAAACGCGAUUUACGCAUUGAGCAUGAAUCUCAAAUGACAGCAGUGCGUUGCAAGCACCAACAGUCACCGGGGGAUCCAACCAACGUGAAUGCGAAUGUGAAUGGAAAUGCGAAAUUAAGUUUUCACUCGUUGUGUGUUUUUUUAGAGUUUUUUUUAGGAUAUGCGUUGCGUAAAUUUUCCGCAUGCGUAAAUUCCCACUCGCAAAUGGCACACGUGCACUUUUCACACGCCCGCGUAAUUUUACACAACGCGCAAAUUGAAAUCUAUAAAAAUCCGAAAACGAUAGCCGUGCGAAAAAAAAUAUACAAAUGUUUGGCAAUCACUUUCGGAUUCGAUAAUCUCCGGCGAUUAAAUUCAGAUUUGUUCUGUGUGCGAGUUCGCGUCUGGUGAAUCGAUUCGUUCCAGCAAAUACGUGCCGUUUUCCUUCGUUUGUAAAAUGGCCCAAUUAAAAUUAGGCGGAUGAUACGAGCGCACGCGGUGGCGAAGUACAGUGAUAUUUCAUAUCGCCGGCGAUCUCAUUAAAUUUUCAAUUCGGACUCGAACUCGACCCGCGAGUGCACGCUCUUGGUAUUCUCGUCGUGUCCGCCUGGUCAUCCUUUCGCGGUCGCCUGCGCUGCGGUCCAAACGUUCGAAAGCGAAAACGGCAAUCACCCGACCCGGCCAGUGCACAAAUCUGUGCGACACACAAAUGCGAAAUCUUCUCAAUUAAUUUUUUUUUGACCAGUGUGUGGUAUGUGUUUUUUUGUGCGGUGCGAUUCUCGUUUGGACGUUCAGUGUUUUCGGUUGGGUGGCAUGGACGCCAUCCGAACACUGGAUAACAUGCUGGUCGGCGAUAAAAAUGUAGUACUAUGCAUUUUUUUACCAAACGAUUUUUUUUCUUGCACUCGGCGCGAUUUUCCAUUUAGAUGUUUGUUUGUGGAAUUGCGCAUUUUGUACAUUUGUGCAUUUGAAUCGGUGCACUUUUUUUUAAACAGCCAAAUACUCGUUCUCGUUGCAGUGUAGUCAAACAGACAUUUACUGAGCAUUCAGAACAUUCACAUUAUGCUCUGUUUCUUUAUGCGCUGGAUUUUAUCCUACUCUAUCGGAAUCAGUCCCAAAUAUACAGCAAAGUUUUCUGCAGCAUUCUUUUUUUUUCGCAGAAAAGUUAAGUUCAAAACUUUCGUUGUACAUUGAAACUUAAUUAAAAGUGCUACGCUUUAGCUACUUUUAGACUGCCAUUACAUGCCAAAUAAAAAAACGAAAAUUUAUUUCCACGAAUAACGGCGUAACCCAAUUUUUGGAUUUUUUACUACGUUUUAAAUAAUAGAAUAAAAUUGCAUAAAUCAGUUCAAAUUAAAUCCUACUGAAUUCGCUCUAAAACUGUUUAAAGUAGUUACACUUUUUCAUAUCAACGCAAUUUAUUCACCGAUAUAUUCGAUAUUUUACACUAAUAUUUUUGAAAUUUAUUUAUUUUCACAAAUAAAUAAAAAUAAAAUUACAAGUUCACCACUUUAAUUGAAUUUUUGUUAUACAUUUGUUGGCCGGUUCAAAUGUUCGAAACAAAAUCCGAUACAAACGAAAGCUAAUAAAUAUCGUUUUCCUAUUUUGCUGCAAUAUUUCUUCUCGCCGACGGGUUGUGCUGAAAGUCGCGCCGUGCCGUUUUGUAAAAGGUCAUUAAGUAAUGAAUACUCGCCGGUACUGAGGGGUGGACGCGGGCGAAAACCCUCGAUACCACCUGUCAACGGCGAACGCCGUGACUUAUUACUCUUUGACACGCUCCGUCCCGCUCGACAUGUCACGAUUAUCACAAAUUAUUCACUUUUUGUGUCGCCAAUUGUGCUCGGCAAUCAAUAAGUGAGCGCAAUUUAAUUUACACUUAAUUUCUUCUAUUCCCCUUUGGAAACGUACAAAUUCAAACAAAAUUCUGAAGCAUAAUUAACUCUGGGAGUUGAACCAUAAGCCAUAUGAAACGUUUGAAAAAUGGAUAUUUCGGAAAGGGGUGAAGACGGCGAAAUGCAAUGCUUUACAACUUCUGACUUCAAUAUCUUAACGAUAUAACGAGCCAACACAAACGCGUGUAUAUGUACAACAGACGAGCCAUUCAUCGAUGCAUGUAAUUUACUUCCGUCAAGCCUUAUCGGCCAUCUUGCUCUUAUCUUGACGUUCGGCGCUUCAUUCGGCAACGCAUUCGUCUCAUUUUUCGCGCUCGCAUUCUUUCGCUUCGUCUCGCUCGUCUCGUGUCUCGCUUACGACUCAACUUCUUAAUACUUUGCCAAAUGCUUACAGGGCUCAAGUAAGCUUUAACUGAUAAAAACUUUUCCACCGAGGGUCGUUUUUUGUUCGCUUCUGUUGAUUCCACCUCGCUGUGUGUACUAUUGCUGUUGCAUUGAUCUCUUUCAGAUGGGACCCGUUGAUACAUCGCUCGCCCGAUAAUGGACUAUUUGCUAUUCGUUAAGUAAUAUUUAAAUGACUGCGCAAACUUUGCCUGGCCUAGUGUCGCACGCUCGACAGAAGUAAAUGCGAAUUAAUGGACACGAACGCAACACGAAAUGCCAAGGUUGAAUUAUUUAGAAAAAGAAAUUGCUCUCGCGCUGUGCCACGACGUGCACGGGCUUCGGCUAACCGGGGGACAAACAUUCGAAUUCAAUUAAUUUCCUCUCUUUUCACCUCUGCCUGCCUGGACAAACUUACCGUCGAACACAUACGCCAAUUCAAACUAACUACAAACUAAUUUGUAUAACUUUUGCCACGUUUAUUUAGUUGCGCAUUUAAUCACAGCCGCAAAAAUUAUAAUUAUUUUGUUUUCUUUGUAUAAUUUUGUAAGAAUUUUUAAAUACAUGUUUUGUAGUGUU